GAGUUUGAUCCUGGCUCAGGAUGAACGCUGGCGGCGUGCCUAAUACAUGCAAGUCGAGCGAACGGACGAGAAGCUUGCUUCUCUGAUGUUAGCGGCGGACGGGUGAGUAACACGUGGAUAACCUACCUAUAAGACUGGGAUAACUUCGGGAAACCGGAGCUAAUACCGGAUAAUAUUUUGAACCGCAUGGUUCAAAAGUGAAAGACGGUCUUGCUGUCACUUAUAGAUGGAUCCGCGCUGCAUUAGCUAGUUGGUAAGGUAACGGCUUACCAAGGCAACGAUGCAUAGCCGACCUGAGAGGGUGAUCGGCCACACUGGAACUGAGACACGGUCCAGACUCCUACGGGAGGCAGCAGUAGGGAAUCUUCCGCAAUGGGCGAAAGCCUGACGGAGCAACGCCGCGUGAGUGAUGAAGGUCUUCGGGUCGUAAAACUCUGUUAUUAGGGAAGAACAUAUGUGUAAGUAACUGUGCACAUCUUGACGGUACCUAAUCAGAAAGCCACGGCUAACUACGUG
RNAcentral lists this ribosomal RNA (516 nucleotides) under uncultured microorganism. Its description in RNAcentral is "bacterial SSU rRNA". It matches the Rfam family "Bacterial small subunit ribosomal RNA", at positions 9 to 507 of the family's 1533-position model. The record is from RNAcentral.